Molecule: ribosomal RNA, 465 nt
Filed under: uncultured Proteus sp.
Lineage: Bacteria; Pseudomonadati; Pseudomonadota; Gammaproteobacteria; Enterobacterales; Morganellaceae
Description: bacterial SSU rRNA
Rfam family: Bacterial small subunit ribosomal RNA
Source: RNAcentral
CCUACGGGCGGCUGCAGUGGGGAAUAUUGCACAAUGGGCGCAAGCCUGAUGCAGCCAUGCCGCGUGUAUGAAGAAGGCCUUAGGGUUGUAAAGUACUUUCAGCGGGGAGGAAGGUGAUAAGGUUAAUACCCUUAUCAAUUGACGUUACCCGCAGAAGAAGCACCGGCUAACUCCGUGCCAGCAGCCGCGGUAAUACGGAGGGUGCAAGCGUUAAUCGGAAUUACUGGGCGUAAAGCGCACGCAGGCGGUCAAUUAAGUCAGAUGUGAAAGCCCCGAGCUUAACUUGGGAAUUGCAUCUGAAACUGGUUGGCUAGAGUCUUGUAGAGGGGGGUAGAAUUCCAUGUGUAGCGGUGAAAUGCGUAGAGAUGUGGAGGAAUACCGGUGGCGAAGGCGGCCCCCUGGACAAAGACUGACGCUCAGGUGCGAAAGCGUGGGGAGCAAACAGGAUUAGAUACCCCAGUAGUC